UGGGUGUUGGAAUUUAUUUAUUUAUUUAAAAAUGGCAGCGUACAAGAAAAUUGUUACAUAAAAUUAUCACAUCGUGAAAUAGGCAACCACUCACUGAAUUUCAUACUUCUCCAAAUGUCGGGACGCCAUUUCUGUACUUUUAGUGAAAGCAUGUCUAGAAAUCGAUACUUUGCAUGAAGACAUUUUAAAACCUGUACUUCAAUGUGGAUUCCCUCCCAAAAAUAAAUAAGUAAAGCAGAAGCUAUUCCCACCGAUUUCAGUGAGGAUUUCUCCCAGUUAAGGGAGUAUAGGGUCCCAGCUGUAGUCCUAUACUGCUUUGUUCCUGCACAGAGUUCCAUUAGCCCUGCCUUCCCCCAGAUUUUAUCAUCAGACUGCAUUGAAUUGCAAGGGGUAGCCUUGUACAUAAUUAUCUGGAAGAUGCUCUAUAGUGCAAGCUUUUGCAUUUUUACUGAGAAUUAAGUCCCAUUGUUUCCAGUGGAAAUUAUUCCUAGGGAAAUUAGGCAGAAUUGCACCCCUAUUGGGGAGAUUUCAGCCAGCAGGUAAAAAAACUCGUUUGUUUCUUACAUCAUCUGUGCUGACUUCCUAAGGUAAAAGCACAUUAUUUACACAAACCUAUCCCUCAAAGAACUUUGGAAAUUGUAAUUUGGUGAGGGUGCUGAGACUCUCCAGUUAAAAAUCAUUCACUCCCCACAAAAAAGAAUUCCAGAUUCCCUAGGGAGACAGGAUGGUUGUUGAAACCACUCCAAGGCUGAAAACCUUUGCAUUCUUAUCUAGGAAGAAACCCCACUGGAGACAUAAGAUUCACUUCUGAGUACAUAGCCAUAGGAUUGUGCUGCACAUUUAAGCUCUGGCAGGCCCUGGAUGGUUCUGCAAGUUUAGAAAACUCUCGGCAUGCGUUUCAAGUGGGCACUGCACAGAUUGUGAGUCACCAUAGCAAAUGCAAUAUAUAUAGUGACCUGACAGGUGAUUGGCAGCCCCCCUCAGCUCCAGGCAGGCAAUAUAAGCAGCAAAGGGGAGGGGAGUUAGUUUAGUGGAUUGUGUUUGGCUCGGUUGGCCACAGGUUGUGCAAGCCUUGAUUUAAGGCCUGUGACUUCAGACAACCAUUCAUCAACUGGAAACUUACUACAGCGUUCCGUGCAAAGCUAUUUGGCCAGUCUGUCCAUGUUUAGCCUUCUGCCAAGGGGUGAGCAGAAUGUCCCCCCCCCCCCACCGACACACCUUUCCACCUGCUCAAAAAGCUGGAAGAACAGAGGGAGGGGAGGAAUAUUCUCUUCCCACUUGGCAGGGCAUUGCACUAUAAUAAAGAAGAGCAACAAAGAAUCUUGUGGCAUCUAAAAGAUUUUUAAUGGAUUUUUUAUCACACGGUAUGUGUUCAUUGGCUUACCAAUGGCCGCCUAUGUUACUAAUUACUGGGUCUUUUUGUGAAUGGUCACUGCUAGUAAGACAGUUACCAUCGUCUGAAUUAUUCUGUAUUGCAUUUGCUUUUGACAUCGCUGUUCACAAGGCAUCCCCAACCCAACACUCAACCAUGUAUAUACGUACCUGCAAUGCAGGAUAAUACUUUCUAAAUCUGACGAAAUGGACUGUAAUCCACAACAACUUGUACUGUAAUAAAUUUGUUAGUUUCUGCAAUACCUACUUUGUAGCUUCUUGCUGCAAAAGACUCGCACAACUACCCCUUAUGGAAAUUGAAAUAAGCAAGUUUUCUUUGGGAAUUUGGAUUCUCUCGUUACUCACUUUUAAAAUGGGACAUGUGUGAAUUCGCUACAGCCAAGAGCAUUACAUAUCUGUAUUUUAAAUACAGGACCAAAACAAGGGAGAAGACAUGUCAUAAGGUUGUUACCUUUCAUACAAUGUUCAUGCAUUUGCUCAAGGUAUUGUUAUUGUUUAAACUAUGCAAUUGUGAUAGAAAAUAAACAGACAAGAAUAAAAUAUAAAGUUUUUAGCACGAGAAACCAGCAGCAAAACAUUUAUUUGGUUCUAACAUACAUCCUAAAUAUUCUGUCCCAAUCAUUAGUGGAGUUUAGCGUCUUACAACACAAACACAUUUUUAAAAGGUUUCCCCACAGUUGUUGUUUUUCGGACAGGCCAGCCAAUUAACCUAAGGUUGCCAUUCAAAGGGUGCUUACCUAGAAGCACUACGCAGAAAUCAGUGGGGCUUACUCCUGUGUCAACAUGGUUAGGGCUCAGCUAUUAAUGAUUAAGCAGCUGUGAUCUCCUGUACACUAAUCCUGCACUGGCUUCGGUGUCAAUCUGGAGCAAACCAUCAGGUCAUCAUCGGAGGGCAGCUUAAAUAAACUUAGCAGCUCCGAGAACGCAGGAUUCCAGUCCUAUGGAAUGUUCUCAGGCAAGUGCCCUGGGAGACUUUUGACACGCACUUACCCUGAAGCAGUUCCACUGAAACCGGCUGACGUACAAGAAACUGUUCUAGGGUAAGUAGCGUUUGAGGCUGUAGUCCUCAAAUUCCUUCCUUCCAAAGGAGGUCUUAGUGACUUUUGCCAUGGAGGCAACUGGGAGGGGAGGAGCAGGUGUCAUCAUUCUGCAAACGCAAAAUGAUUUAUCUGCUUUUAUUUUGGCAGCCAUUGAACCAAUCUGUUGGCACACACAAAGGUGCGUGUGGGAACUGGUCCUAUACGCCCAGGCGAACACACCUUCCUUUCGAUAUAGACCGGAAUUACCUGUGGGACUUGACGGCUUGCUCACCGACUCUGCACCAGCCCAAAUUGUUCCAACAGGACUUUUUGUCCUCAUCUCGUCUCUCCCUCCCCCCUCCCAAUCUCGCACUCUUUCUAUUUCUCACCCAUUUGACAACAACCUGUCACAACUGUUAACUUACUAACCAGCGGAAUUAUUCUCAUAGAGUGUCUUACACCUAUCCUACUCCAUAUUAUAGAACUGACAUCCAUGAGGGCUAGAAACUUAUUUUUAAAAACACCCUUAAAGCUGAUUUUCAAUCCCUGAGUGCAGCAUGAUUCGCUUCCUAUUAAAUCUGAAAGGAAAGCCCAGUUUCUUUGCUUGUUCGCUUACUCCACUGAUUACAAAUUUUGAGGGAUGGGUUAAAAGAAAACCAAACCCCGUCCUGAAUUUCUCCUCUCUAGGGCAGCUUCGCCACGUUCAGUGGGAUGCCUUUGCCGGUGGCUGUCGGAUGGUGUCCUUUCCCCGGUCGGUGUGUCCCCCUCCCUCGAAAUGAAACUCUUCCCCCCGUGAUUGCAGCCUGAAGUCCACAGAGCAAGUUCCUCCUCCUCCUCCUCCUUUUCCAGCUGGCGAUGCUCAGGCCGCCCGGGUCAAGUGGUCCUAAACAUUUCACAAUUAUGCUACAGAACUGUUGAACUGUUAAGAACCACUGCACCCAGCAGGCUUAGAUAUCAUUUGGAGAGGAGGGGUGGUCGGGAGGAGUCGUCUGGUGUCCCCACCCGCCUGCUGCAUCUCCGGAGACCUGCUUAAGCCGGACAAAACAAAAGCGAGAGAAAAAGACAACAAAGUCAAAAGAGGGGGGAGAGAAAGCACAGACAGGCCAAAGACAAAUCCCCUUUGAUCUCACCCUCCUACCCCCUCCCCAAGCUUGUUGCGCGGUUUGCAGACAAAACCACUUACGAGGUGUCCAAGCAGAUCCUUGGAAAGGGGGAGGAAAUAAAAUCUCUGCGCCCAAUUCCUGCGUAAUUAGGAAGGGCUGGAGAGGCAAGAGGAGCGUGCGGGGGUUCCAGCUUGGAUGCAAACUGAGCACCUUAAAUGCCAUUAUCCUCAUGGGACACUAAAGCGGAGCUGGAGCCACGAGGUGCCAGGAAAGCAAAAGUUUUUGUCUGUGUGCCUGUGUGUGUGUGUGUGGCCAGUGCUGUCUUCUCGCUCGCCGCCGACUCCCGGUGGAGGCAGGUAGAAAGGUAGGCAGGUAGGCACAUAGCAGCAGCAGCGUCUCCGUCCCGAUCUGCGCUCAGGCACCUCUACCUGCCCCGCCUUAUAUACCUGCCCCACUCCUUCGCCGUCCCCUGCAGCAGAAGUCAAGAAUGCGGCCCUCGCCCCUGCCACGACCUGUUUUUCCAGGCGGCCUUUGCAACGACAGCAAGCCAAGUGGGUGGGUUGGUUGGGCGAUGAUGUCGGCGCGAGGCUCCUUUCUUUCCUUUUUGUUGUUGUUCUCCCAAAGCGAUCAUCAUCUGGGGCGGUGUAAACGUCAGCAGCGAGAGAGAGAGAAAGAAAAGAGGGAGAGUCAAACCUGUUCUGCGCUGCGCGUUUCUGCAGCCGCCACCGCCUCCUCCCCAGCUGCUGCCAGGUGCGCGCUGAAAAGUUUUGUCACCGGGCGGGGAGCAACUGCUCAACAGGUUUGGCAGAAGCCGAGGGUGGCUCCUUAAAGCAUAAGGAGGGGAGAGGGGGAAAGGUGAGUUUUUUUAAAAGGGGAGACUCCACCCUGGACUUUCCCCGCGCACGUUCCCCUUGCCAGGAAGAAGCUAAAGCGAGAGUGCGGGUCUCCAGGUAGCCAAAACGGCGCCGUGACGCCCACAUAAGGGAGGUAGCUAUCAGAAAGCCUGGGAGAACCUAAGGUUUGCAGCAGGACAAAAACAAACUAUGUUGUUCUUGAUUAGUCGUUUAGUCGUGUCCGACUCUUCGUGACCCCAUGGACCAGAGCACGCCAGGCACUCCUGUCUUCCACUGCCUCCCGCAGUUUGGUCAAACUCCUGCUGCUAGCUUCAAGAACACUGUCCAACCAUCUCGUCCUUUGUCAUCCCCUUCUCCUUGUGCCCUCCAUCUUUCUCAACAUCAGGGUCUUUUCCAGGGAGUCUUCUCUUCUCAUGAGGUGGACAAAGUAUUGGUGUCUCAGCUUCAGGAUCUGUCUUCCAGUGAGCUCUCAGGGCUGAUUUCCUUCAGAUUGGAUAGGUUUGAUCUUCUUGCAGUCCAUGGGGCUCUCAAGAGUCUCCUCCAGCACCAUAAUUCAAAAGCAUCAAUUCUUCGGCGAUCAGCCUUCUUUAUGGUCCAGCUCUCACUUCCAUACAUCACUCCUGGGAAAACCAUAGCUUUAACUAUACGGACCUUUGUUGGCAAAAAUAAACUAUAGAGAUUGUAAUGGGGUGCCCAAAAACAGGGCAGUUAUGAUUGGACAAGCUUGGUGGGCUCUGCCUGGUGGUUGUUGGGUGGCAGGGAGGUGCAAUGCAAUAGAGCAUAGCUGGCUAGCUGUCAGUCAACCUAAGUAGGGACAUAACAGAAGAAGAGGCUUGGAUCAGGCCAGUGGGUCACCUUCUCGUCCAGCAUCCCAUUCUCACAGUGGCCAACUAGAAGCCUCUUGGGAACCCUGCAAGCACAACAGCACUUGCGAUUCCCCACAGCUGGUGCUCAGAGCCACACUGCCUUCAACAGUAGAAGGAGAACAUAACCAGAACGCAUUCUGCGCUGCAACAUUCCAUGUUGCAGCAUCUUGCUGCAGGCCCCAUUUGCUAUACAGUGGUACCUCGGGUUACAUACGCUUCAGGUUACAGACUCCGCUAACCCAGAAAAAGUGCUUCAGGUUAAGAACUUUGCUUCAGGAUGAGAACAGAAAUCGUGCUCCAGCGGCGUGGCAGCAGUGGGAGGCCGCAUUAGCUAAAGUGGUGCUUCAGGUUAAGAACAGUAUCAGGUUAAGCACGGACCUCCGGAACUAAUUAAGUACUUAACCCGAGGUACCACUGUACAAUAAGCCACGCUCGAAAGGAGUCUGAGGUGCAUUUGAUACCCAGAACCAUUUCCCCGCUACCCACAACUGCACUCGCAAUAUCUCCUGCGGUACUAGUGGCUCCCCUCCCACAUCUCCUUCCAGUUUUAUUUAAAUUGAACUAUAUUUAUUAUUGCACUUGUAUUUUGCUCCAAGGAGCUCAAGGGAAUGCACAUGAUUUUGGCCACUUCCCGUUUAAUCCUCAAAACAACCCUUUGAGGUAGGUUGGAUUGAGAGACGGCAGCUGGUCCGGUGGACAUGAGAGAAAAUGAAACAGUUUUGGGAACAGAUUUAUAACAAAUUGAAAAAGAUAUUUAAAUACACUUUCCCGAAAAAGCCGGAAGCUUUCUUGCUAGGCUUGAUGGGGGAGGAAAUAGAAAAGGCAGGUCAAAGGUUAUUUAUGUAUGCUACGACUGCUGCCAGAACUUUGUUAGCCCAAAAAUGGAAAGUACCAGAAUUACCAACAAUAGAGGAGCGGCAGACGAAGAUGGUUGAAUAUGAGGAACUAGCAAAACUGACCUGUAGAAUCCGAAAUGAGGAGGAAGCAAUAUUCCAAAAAGAUUGGAGUAAAUUUAUGGAGUGCAUAAAUAAUAACUGUAGAAAUUUGAAGACUCUGGCAGGACGGAAAUAAACCUUAUGAUGUAGAUAGGAUUGGAUACAAUAAGAAACUGUGGAAAAGCAACUGACGUAAGAAAACCUGUUGAAGGGAGGGAAGGAAGCCAAUGCUCAGCAGAGUGUGGGGAAAGAAUGUGGGGCAAUGAUUGUUGAAUUUUACUGUAUUUUGUUUGUAUUAAAUGAAACACCAAUAAAAGCAUUUAUUAAAAGAGAGAGAGAGAGAUGGCAGCUGGUCCAAAGUCACCCAGUGAGUUUCAUGCUGAGCAGAAACCUGCAUCCUAGUCUCCCAGGCUCAGAGCAGCCUUCCCACCCCAAAGUCCCCUUUUUCCAGCGCUUGGACUAUCCAAGGGCACCCUGCUCUCCCCGCCUCCUCCAAGGCAAACCAUCCGUGUUCUGCAUCCUCCCCAAAUGCAUUUGUCUGGUGUCCUUGAACCACGGUAACUGGUUUUACUGGAUGGAGGGUGUGUGUGAAUGUGUAGGUGUAAGAACAUCUGGAACAUAGACUACAGGACAAAAGUAAUAGUCAUGCAGAUCAGUCCACCCACCUUUGCCUCUGGCCACACCACCAACUGGCCUGUGGCUCCCAGGAAGCUGCCCACAAGGGAACACAGUCUUCAGAUGCCCCCCAUCCCGGCAUUAAACAGAGUUAUGGAGGACUGAAUCACAUGUGUAUGUAAUAGCAUAAUAAGAGUCCUGCUGGAUCAGGCGGGUGUCUCAGCUAGUCCAGCAUCCUGUUUUCGCAGUGGCCAGACAGGUGCCUCUGGGAAGCCUAUGGGCCAGACUCUCCACCUUCCAUGGUUUUCAGCAACUGGUAUCCAGAGGCAUAUUUUAUGUACAGUUUCUGGUGUCUCAUCACAACCCCUUUGCUCACCAGCUGAGGCCCAUUCACACACAUGUUUGCUCAACAUGCAAGCAGUUUUUGGAGUGCAAACUGGACCAGGGAUAAUUCAUGCAAGUGGUGGAGGCAGUGGGAUUGUGGCAGCAGGCAGGUUGCACCGUGACACACUACACAUGUCUAUAGAGCAUCUGAAUUGAACGAAGCCACGUAAAAGUGUACACAGAGAAAGAGAGACUUAUUCAUUGUUGUUUACUGCCGGUGUUACCGAUGAACCCAAAGCUUCUUAACAUCAAAAUGGAUUGAGAACAUCCGGUAAAAACCUAAAAACACAGCUAAACAGAUAAAAGGCAGACCUACAGACCCUACCCCACUAAAAGAAGCCACAAUGCCACCCUUCAAAUUGUUGUUGUUGUUUAUUGUGGCGCUGUGGGUUAAACCACAGAGCCUAGGGCUUGCCAAGCAGAAGGUCGGCGGUUCGAAUCCCCGUGAUGGGAUGAGCUCCCAUUGCUCGGUCACAGCUCCUGCCAACCUAGCAGCUCGAAUGCACAUCAAAGUGCAAGUAGAUAAAUAGGUACCGCUCCAGUGGGAAGGUAAACGGUGUUUCCGUGCGCUGCUCUGGUUUGCCAGAAGCGGGUUAGUCAUGCUGGUCACAUGACCCAGAAGCUGUACGCCGGCUCCGUCGGCCAAUAAAGCGAGAUGAGCGCCGCAACCCCAGAGUUGGUCACGACUGGACCUAAUGGUCAGGGGUCCCUUUACCUUUACCUUUAUACUGCCCUGCAUUCGAAGACCUUGGGGCAGUUCACAAGAUAAAAAUACAGGAUAGAAGCACAAAAUAAAUAGUUAAAUCAAGGGCCAAAGCCCAGGGGGUUUGCUAUUCCCAGUGUUGAAGAGAGGAUUAAACAACCAAUUGCCUGCAUCUCAUAGGAAUUCAGUAAGACCAUAAGUCUACAUAGGUCCACCUAGCUCUACAUUGUCUACAAUGGCAGGCAAUGGUCCUCCAAGGUUUCAGGCAGGAAUCUUUCUCAAUCAUACCUGGAGAAGCUGAGGACAGAACUUGGGGCCUUUUGCAAUACAGAGCAGGCAUUCUGCCACUGAGCUGUGUAUCCCAUCUCAGUUCACGUGGAGAUGAGUAAGCAGGUGAAACAAAGUUCCUGGGCAUCCAGCCUUCCUUCAGUUCAAAAGGCAGCCAAUGUUAAAAAUGAGUCGAUGAGCAGGGAUAUAGAUUGUUGUCAUGGGCUUAGCCAAGGGGGGCCAGCAGGCGCAGCUCCCCCUGCUAAAUCAAUAAAAAUAACUAAGGUUCUGCUCCCCCUAACAAAAGUCCUGGCUACACCCAUGAUUGCUGUGCAUGUAAUUUGCUGGGUGUAAACACACAGACGUGAAUGAUUAUCAGUUGUGAAAAACUACCUUUGGGGUUUUUGCUUUUUUCCUGCACAUAAUAAUCAUUCCACUUGGAGACUGUAUAAUAUAUCUCUAGGAUACUUCACCGAUUUUUAAGUACUGGUGGCAUGGGGUUUUGAAUCGCAAUGACCAGUUCAGAAUAGGGCUACCUUGAAAUGACUGCUUCCUUCCUUCCUUCCUUCCUUCCUUCCUUCCUUCCUUCCUUCCUUCCUUCCUUCCUUCCUUUUAAUGUAUAUGGUUAGUUGUUGGCAUCUGUCUGUCUCAGGAGACCAUGGAGGAAUGCACCUUUGGGGGUGAGCUCAAGCUGUUGCAGAAUUGCAGCAUCUGCUGUGGCUGUAGAGACCAACACAGAAGAGACAUGUUUUGUUGCAGCUGGGGCAGGUGAAGGCAUCCGGUUGUGCUGCUGCAGACUCACCAUGGCGUUUCUCCUCUCUGGGCUCCUCCCAGUGCUCAUUCCUCCUCUGGUCACUGCUGUGGAUGCACAACCUGAUUGUCUGUCUCCAGGCACUGCAGUCACCUGCAAAGGAUUCCUAUGUGGCGGGCUUGACGUUGCCAGCCUUCAUGUCACAUAGAGCAUGUCUUUGGGGAUCCUGCCAUCUUCCGCUCUGUGGACAUGGCCAAGCCAGCACAGUCACUGAGACAGGAAUGUAUAUACCAUGCUGUAAACACAACUUCUUGGGCAGUUAACCUAAAGAUUACACAGGAUGGCCUGUUGUGAUCUUUAGCAAAUCUUUCAGCAGAGUUUCAGAUACCCUGCAGCAUAUUUUCUGGGCCCUGGAACAGUUGCUACAGAGAUUGGUGUGCUGCAGAUAGGCAGUAGCAAGAAAAACGCAUGACAUGUCCCAGGGAAUUGCCCCCUGUAGGAAAUUCUCUGUAGGGAAACAGUAUCGGGUGAUGAGUAAUGGCUUUUCCCAAAGCCUUUGCUAAUCCUGUAAGCAAGCAUACCUUGACUAACUGGCCUGUUUCCUAAACCCUGAGCAAUGAGACUGCUUUGACUAUUUCCCCCACCCACCCACCCCGCUGGCCUCCUUCCAGUUCUGAGGAGACUCUGCCUAUCAUAGCUCUCCAACCUAAACAAGACUCCCAGUCGCAUGACAUCUGCAUAGAUACAUAGGGAGGGAGAAGCAUGUUCCCAAUCUAGACGAAUUCCUGUGGACCUGUGAGGAGAGACUGUAGCUUAUUCGCAUCUUUCACAUGCAAAAAGUCCCAGAUUCGGUCACUGGCAUCUCCAGUCAAAAUGCACAACUAGGAGGUGGUGGGAAAAGGCCUUUCUCUCCCUGAGAUCCUACAAAGUUGUCAUUAGUCACAGUCAACAACACUGGGCAUCAAUGGACAAAAGUCACAAGGCAGGUUUCCAUGUUUCUAAGUUCUGCUCAAGUCAAGAGCCUGGCAAGAUUGUGCAAAGAUGGCCUAAGUGUAUAUCAAAUUUUCAUGUUAGCUCACCAUCUAAAACCCUUCGGUCCUGUUGGACCAGGCCGAAAGCCCAUCUAGUCUAGCAUCCUCUUCCCACAGUGGCCAACCAGUUGCCUAUGGGAGGUCUUGUGCUCCACAGCAACUGGUAUUCAAAGGCACACUGCCUUUGAAAGUAGAGGCAGAACAUGGCCAUUGUGAGUAGUAGCCACGGAGCUACACACACACACACACACACACACACACACACACACGGUCUUGUUCCCACUCAGUUACCUACAGCUCAAACCCAGUGAGCAUACAAGUGAAAGAUCUUUUUCUGUUAUUGGUACAGCGAAAGAAAAAGGAAAUAUUAACGGCGGCUUUUUCUGGUAACAACGCAUCUCAAAAGAGGCUCCUAUAUUGAAGCUUUAGAAAAUAUGCACAUUGUGUAAAAUUUAAGAACUAGUUGAUUAAUUACGUUAAAAAGCAGUGGUUUAUUCAAUCAAAAGUUCUUUUAAUCAGUCAAUUGUCCUACUGUUAGUCCUGAUCUGGAUGGAUGUGUGUAUUUGUCAACUAAUAGGCCAGAAGUGUCUGCGCUGAAAGCACCAAUUACCUGUUGAGUUGGGAAGAACAGCCAAGUUCAGUCCCCAAUCCUCUCUAACCAGUUAUCAGUCCUAGCAAAGAAAAGACACUAACUUUCUGUUUCAUCCCUGACUGGCAGGGACUUGUGGAUUCGGCCACUGCAAUCCACUAUCUUAUUGGAGGAAAGAAGUGCUGAUCUGCUCUCUUCUAUGCUGCAAUGCCACCACUACAGAUGGACAGUGGUGGUGUUGCAGCUGCCAAGCUACCCUUAGGGUUCCAACUGGCCCCAAGAAGCUGCUGACUUUGGCCUGGAGAUGCACAAUCACAACAUGCUGGGUUGCCCUGUCUCCAGACCACUAACAGAACCUCAACAGGUUGUUUACAUCUGGAUUUGCUAUAGGCUGCCAUNNNNNNNNNNNNNNNNNNNNNNNNNNNNNNNNNNNNNNNNNNNNNNNNNNNNNNNNNNNNNNNNNNNNNNNNNNNNNNNNNNNNNNNNNNNNNNNNNNNNUGCUAAACGCAUCUAACCAUUCGUGAUGCAAACAUGUCAUGCUUACUUUUGCCAGUAUAAUCCUUUUUGACAAGAGAGCAAUUAUUGCUGCUGAACAUUGGCAUUGUCAGUAACCUAUUUUUGUGCUCUUAAAUCCCUUUAUUAUAGCCUCCAACUUAGUUACAAAGUUGAGCUUCAACAAUAACUUCAGCAGCCCCAGUGGAGUACUGUAUAUAUUGUAAAUUGAUGUAAAUUGGUACCAUGGAAAGAGCUAGAUGCCUGAAAUCUACUUUUCCUAAUGCUGUGAACCUGCCCUAUUAUGAAGUCUAUUGGUUAGACAGGCUUUUUAGCAGAGGUAUUGAUUUGAUUUUUGUUGAGAGUAAGACUGUCCAGCAAUUAAAACAUAUUAAAAAGUUUUCAUAUACAGUGGUACCUCUGGUUACGUACUUAAUUCGUUCCGGAGGUCCGUUCUUAACCUGAAACUGUUCUUAACCUGAAGCACCACUUUAGCUAAUGGGGCCUCCCGCUGCUGCCACGCCACCGCUGCAUGAUUUUUUGUUCUCAUCCUGAAGCAAAGUUCUUAACCCGAGGUACUAUUUCUGGGUCAGCAGAGUCUGUAACCUGAAGCGUAUGUAACCUGAGGUACCACUAUACAUUCAUCUUCUCUGAAGCCUUAUUAGGCAGAUGGCACCAAUGUCUCCUGUCUCCCUUCUGUUUGCCAUCCCUUUAUAGUGAGUUGUGUACAUUUUCUUCUGCUAUAUGCAGUAAAAUCUAGUAAAGUAGAGCACUUGAGAGAGUCAGAUUUCACAUGGCAGUGGACGUUGAGUCUUUUCACCAACCCUUCCUUCUCCCAAAAUAGGGACAGGAAUCGAGUUGGUGUUGGAACUUCAACCAAACAAUUGUGUCAGUCCUGUACAUACCAAGUUCUAUUAUAAGAUCCCAACAGUUAAGGAAGGUAUCACAACACAUUGUGUUUCACCUCUUGACUGCUCCUUUGGAAAAUGCUCAAGGGUGUCAAGUGUUCCGAAGAUCAAUGCUCCUAAUUUAGCAAUGGCCCCAGCUAUUAAGAGCCAGCGUGGUGUAGUGGUUAAGAGCAGUAGUCUCGUAAUCUGGGGAACUGGGUUCGCAUCUCCGCUCCUCCACAUGCAGCUGCUGGGUGACCUUGGGCUAGUCACACUUCUCUGAAGUCUCUCAGCCCCACUCACCUCACAGAGUGUUUGUUGUGGGGGAGGAGGGGAAAGGAGAAUGUUAGCCGCUUUGAGACUCCUUAAAGGGAGUGAAAGGCGGGAUAUCAAAUCCAAACUCUUCUUCUUCUUCUUCUAUUAGGAAGAUGCUAGGAGGAACAGAAAUGUGCCAUCAAAACUAGCCUACAGCUCUUAGACACAGUGGAGAACGCUACCCUGUUGCAUUUGUCUAAAUAAGAACCAUGUGCCAGUUGAGUUGGCUCUUGUACAUGGAAUAGGAGGGCGGAAUUCCUUGUCCUUUGACCCAGAUGUCUUUUUCAUUGUGGUUUUUAAUUUUUUUAAUAAAAAAAUAAAUUUCACAAAACAUAUAUGCAUCUUAAAUUACAAAAGCAUUGGAAUAAACAGGCCCACUGCCCUGAUCCACCAAACUCUUCUUAUGUCUUUACGUACUUAUUCCAUGCAGGAAGAUUGCAGGUAGAACGGACACAUGUAGACUUUCAGGGCAAUGUGCUUGAUCCCAGUUCCCUAUAUUCUUUUUGCCUCUAUGCGUUCAGGCUCAAUUCCUGAAAAGGGUUGUAAGGUAACAAACCAAGAAGUCUCCUCUUUAGUUGGGUGCACAAGAGGAGGAAGGGGUGGGCUCCAUGGGGAGGAAGUAGGGCUCAAGCUGGAUUGAUUUUCGAUACCUACAUCUAAACCCAGCCACCAUGCUAGAAGCACACAGGGCAAACUAGUGAGCAGGCAAGAGCAAACCCAAGGCCUUACUUUUCUUGGCCAACUACACCUUCCCCUAGAAAUGGAGGAGAAAUCCAAUCCAGUAUGCCUUUAAAGCUGAAUCUAUCAAAUGUUCACCUUCCAAAACAGUAAGGUAAAGGUAAAGGGACCCCUGACCAUUAGGUCCAGUCGUGGCCGACUCUGGGGUUACGGUGCUCAUCUCGCUUUAUUGGCUGAGGGAGCUGGCGUACAGCUUCCGAGUCAUGUGGCCAACAUGACAAAACCGCUUCUGGCGAACCAGAGCAGCGCAUGGAAACGCCGUUUACCUUCCUGCCGGAGCGGUACCUAUUUAUCUACUUGCACUUUGACGUGCUUUCAAACGGCUAGGUUGGCAGGAGCAGGGACCGAGCAACGGGAGCUCAUCCCGUCAUGGGGAUUCGAACUGCCAACCUUCUGAUCAGCAAGUCCUAGGCUCUGUGGUUUAACGCAUGGCGCCACCCGCGUCCAAAACAGUAUGUGAACCCAAAUAGAGCUAUCUUUCAGAAUCUGUGCUUUUGCAAAACAGUUCUCCAGCCAGUGUUUACAAAAAUGUAUAAAUUUGGUGAAAGUGUGCAUAAAAAUGAAGAUAUUGGUGAACAUAACUUACAAAAAUGCAUAUAUUAGGGGGAAUUGCUUGCAGACCUGCAUAUAAAAAUGUGUUUUACGAGAAAGUUGCACCAAAAUGCUGGUUAACUUUCAUGAAGGGGUUUUUUAAAUUGCAAAUUGCUGCAAAAUGUGGGCAACUGAAAUUAAUAUUGGAAAAAUGAGUAAAAGAGAUUUAAAAAAUGACAUCUUCCUCCAUCCUUACCUUCCUGUGCCCGCGCCCCCCGCCACUGCCCCAAAUACCAUUUACUACUGGCAACAUUUUACAAUAAAAAUCAAUUUAUUGUGGGGACAGUGCCUCCAGUUUGAAAUCUGGCAUAGUCAAAAACCAUAGCUCAGAAGAUUAUGUCUACCCAGCUUUUAUUGGCAUAGCUCUCCUUUCUCACUAAUCCAGACUUCAACAAACCUGGUGCCCUCCAAUUGCCAUCAGUUCCAGACAGGCUGGUCUAAUCUUUCCAAACCCUACACAGGUAUCACUUUGCCAUUUAAGUUCCAGUGCUCAUGGCCAAGCAAGCUUUAAAUGCAUCACAAAGGGAAAAUGAAAAUGAAUCAUUUGGCGAUCUCCUGGAUUGCUUCCUUUGCAAGUUGCAACUCACCCCAGAAUUUUCUGCGUAGGACGGAUGGUGCAUUUUGCAAGACGUGUUUUGCAGAAUUAUCACACCAUGUCCACGGGCUUUGCCCAUUGGUUGCAGCAGAAGACUCUUCAUUUACCACACAUUAUCAUUGGCAGAAGCUGUGCCAAGCCACGGGCGGGCAAUGCAUCAUGUAGCAUCAUCAGAGUCGCUCAAGUUCCGUGGCUUGAACAGGCUUACUCAUCUUCUUGGAAUCAAUAAUGCCUUUUAAAACAACAUACUCAAGUUGGUAUUCGGCUCAUAAAUAUGCCUUGAAAGAUCUUCAGCAACCAGCCUGGGAAGAAGCUCUUUGACUAUAACAGCUUGUCCUGGAAUCACAGGUGCCACGUCAGGAGAAACAGCAGUUCCCAUCCCCAAUUCUCUUAUUCUAGGGCACAUAUGAUAAUUCCCCAGAAGCACUUCUGUUUUUGGCCAGCUCACUUAUUGUAUGCACUGGCUAUUGUUAUAAGCAAUUAAAUGAACCUACAUACCAAGUCCCUUUGAUUUUUAAAAAAUGUGGGGGGGGGUGGAUGUCUGAUCUAGGUUGGUAACAUUCUAUAGUUGUUGUGAAACUUCAAGAAGGCACAGUGAGAACUGCUUCCUGCAUCGUAUUCAGGCACAGCGAAUUAACUCUGCACUGUCUCCUUAAGGGCAUCACAACCUCCAGACUUUCCCCUUCUCUCUCUAGUUUUGGAGAUGCCCUGCUGAAGGCCUGUGUUUGGAACCCGGCCAGCAAAAUUGUAUAUAACCCUUGUGGAACAAACUGGUUAGCAGCCCUGAAUCCAGUUGUCCCUCUUUUGAAACACAUUGGCUGUGAUCCAACUGCCUCCGAAAACAACCCUGCUGAUCCUGUUGUUUGGAGGGGAAAGCAGGUGAACCAAAUCCAGUGGUCACCCUACUUUACCUCUUUGAAUAGCCAACCAGCUAAAUCCAAGCUUUUUAGAAACAUAUGCGCAUCCCUCCUGUUAGAUUGGGCUAUGGCUGUUAAUGCCCAUGUUCCACUGCCACCGUUGGAGGCAAUAAUUGCUUCUGAAUGUUUGGCUCUGCCCUCGCCUGUCUUGAAAGGAUCCUUUAAAAAAAGUCCCAUAUGACCAGAGAAUUUGCACCUGUCCAUUGGGGGAUAGAGGAAGCCCUGAACACAUAUUUUUUAGAUGUCCCUUUUACAAUCAGGCAUGUAGAGAACCCCUUGACCCCCUGCUGGAGAGGCUUGCUGACCUCCCAGUAAAGCAAAAAUUCGAUCUUCCAUUAGGCAAAGACCACAAGACGACCCAGAUUGUCGCCGGAUUCUGCGCACAGAUCUGUAGGCGCAGACCACCCCCCAAUUCAAUCUAGUUUGUUAAGAAAAUUCCCAAACCCGGAUCCACGGGCGACUUUGGGUCAUUUCUCUGAGGUAGUCUAUUUUAAAGUUUUUAUGUGUUUAUAUGCGAGAGCUGGACCAUAAAGAAGGCUGAUUGCUGAAGAAUUGAUGCUUUUGAAUUAUGGUGCUGGAGGAGACUCUUGAGAGUCCCAUGGACUGCAAGAAGAUCAAACCUAUCCAUUCUGAAGGAAAUCAGCCCUGAGUGCUCACUGGAAGGACAGAUGUGAGAGCCAGUGUGGUGUAGUGGUUAAGAGCGGUAGUCUCGUAAUCUGGGGAACCGGGUUCGCAUCUCUGCUCCUCCACAUGCAGCUGCUGGGUGACCUUGGGCCAGUCACACUUCUUUGAAGUCUCUCAGCCCCACUCACCUCACAGAGUGUUUGUUGUGGGGGAGGAAGGGAAAGGAGAAUGUUAGCCGCUUUGAGACUCCUGAAGGGGAGUGAAAGGUGGGAUAUCAAAUCCAAACUCUUCUUCUUCUUCAGAUCGUGAAGCUGAGGCUCCAAUACUUUGGCCACCUCAUGAGAAGAGAAGACCCCCUGGAAAAGGCCCUGAUGUUGGGAAAGAUGGAGGGCACAAGGAGAAGGGAACGACAGAGGACAAGAUGGUUGGACAGUGUUCUUGAAGCUACCAGCAUGAGUCUGACCAAACUGCGGGAGACAGUGGAAGACAGGAGUGCCUGGCGUGGUCUGGUCCAUGGGGUCACGAAGAGUCGGACACGACUAAACGACUAAACAACAACAAUGCCUAUUGCACUUUUAAACUUAAAAUCCAUUGUUGUAUAUUGUUUUAAAUGUUUGUUUUGCUAUUGGGAUUGUAGUUCCAUUUGUGUUUCUCAAGCUGGUCUCUGACCGUAAUAAAUUUCAUGCUCAUG
RNAcentral lists this long non-coding RNA (16359 nucleotides) under Podarcis lilfordi (Lilford's wall lizard). The stretch from base 3275 to 3354 matches the Rfam family "mir-203 microRNA precursor family". Lineage: Eukaryota; Metazoa; Chordata; Lepidosauria; Squamata; Lacertidae. The record is from RNAcentral.